Protopterus annectens (West African lungfish) is the source of this 177-nucleotide long non-coding RNA. RefSeq lists it as uncharacterized. The record is from RefSeq and is a predicted model, not a curated record. The transcript is spliced from 3 exons. NCBI's taxonomy places the organism in Eukaryota, Metazoa, Chordata, Ceratodontiformes, Protopteridae.
CAGAUUAUUUAACACCUGAGGGUACCCAGUCUCCUUCAAUCAGCCCAGAAGUCACAACCGGAGAAAAUUCCACUACCAUUAUUUUUCCUGAUGGCGAUUAUUAUGACUGGAUAUUAGAGCAUUUCAUCUUUGGAGGUCGCCAGUCAGUUUCAAGAAGCCCAGAAGUCACAACGAAAG